Non-coding RNA from Ktedonobacter racemifer DSM 44963, 268 nucleotides. It matches the Rfam family "HNH endonuclease-associated RNA and ORF (HEARO) RNA". The record is from Rfam. Lineage: Bacteria; Bacillati; Chloroflexota; Ktedonobacteria; Ktedonobacterales; Ktedonobacteraceae.
GUCAUGUACCCCCGCAUCGAAUGCGGGGGCUUGCGAGGGGCGCUCGCGCCGUUCGCAGGCCCGAGACAUGAGCAGACUCAGCCAGGGGAGGAGCAUGCUCCUCCCAUCGGGCUCCGUUGCAAGCGAAUGCGGCACAGCCGAUGUCCAUAGGCACGUUCAGGUGCUUCACCAGCCUGAACCUCUGCGGGGAAGCGUUAAAAGGUGUAGAGGGAGAAGCCAGUGCGCUUUCCAACAAACCGCUUGCACACGUUGUCGAGGUGAGCUUUAC